Molecule: ribosomal RNA, 482 nt
Filed under: uncultured bacterium
Lineage: Bacteria
Description: partial 16S ribosomal RNA
Rfam family: Bacterial small subunit ribosomal RNA
Source: RNAcentral
AUUGAACGCUGGCGGCAUGCUUUACACAUGCAAGUCGAACGGUAACAGGCCGCAAGGUGCUGACGAGUGGCGAACGGGGGAGUAAUGCAUCGGAACGUGCCCCGUCGUGGGGGAUAACUACUCGAAAGAGUAGCUAAUACCGCAUACGAUCUAUGGAUGAAAGCGGGGGACCGCAAGGCCUCGCGCGAUUGGAGCGGCCGAUGUCAGAUUAGGUAGUUGGUGGGGUAAAGGCUCACCAAGCCAACGAUCUGUAGCUGGUCUGAGAGGACGACCAGCCACACUGGAACUGAGACACGGCCCAGACUCCUACGGGAGGCAGCAGUGGGGAAUUUUGGACAAUGGGCGCAAGCCUGAUCCAGCAAUGCCGCGUGCAGGAAGAAGGCCUUCGGGUUGUAAACUGCUUUUGUACGGAACGAAACGGCUCUGGUUAAUACCCGGGGCUAAUGACGGUACCGUAAGAAUAAGCACCGGCUAACUACGUG